RNAcentral lists this long non-coding RNA (203 nucleotides) under Lathyrus oleraceus (garden pea). Its description in RNAcentral is "Pisum sativum (pea) long non-coding RNA (PSAT_LNC017337)". The record is from RNAcentral. Lineage: Eukaryota; Viridiplantae; Streptophyta; Magnoliopsida; Fabales; Fabaceae.
UCACCGAGCACUCUAUAUAUUCUUUUCUUUUUCCCUUUAUUAUUUUUCACUAUAAGGAUACAUAGGCAUGAAGUGGUGUUUGUCUUUUGAGUCCUCGUUGCUUAGAGAAAUAUCUCUCUCUUUGUUUCCACUGCAGUUAAUCUUUGAAAUUGAGUUUUGUCUUGUGAGUCCUUAUUGCUUAGACAAGUACCUUUUGUUACCUU